Molecule: transfer RNA, 52 nt
Filed under: Paramoeba aestuarina
Lineage: Eukaryota; Discosea; Flabellinia; Dactylopodida; Paramoebidae
Description: partial tRNA
Source: RNAcentral
AGACUUGUGGGUGCAUGGGGAGAGGUUAUGCGCUUCAAAGACGGCUCCCCAG